Molecule: ribosomal RNA, 497 nt
Filed under: uncultured bacterium
Lineage: Bacteria
Description: partial 16S ribosomal RNA
Rfam family: Bacterial small subunit ribosomal RNA
Source: RNAcentral
GAUGAACGCUGGCGGCGUGCCUAAUACAUGCAAGUCGAGCGAACAGAUAAGGAGCUUGCUCCUUUGACGUUAGCGGCGGACGGGUGAGUAACACGUGGGUAACCUCCCUAUAAGACUGGGAUAACUUCGGGAAACCGGAGCUAAUACCGGAUAAUAUUUCGAACCGCAUGGUUCGAUAGUGAAAGAUGGUUUUGCUAUCACUUAUAGAUGGACCCGCGCCGUAUUAGCUAGUUGGUAAGGUAACGGCUUACCAAGGCGACGAUACGUAGCCGACCUGAGAGGGUGAUCGGCCACACUGGAACUGAGACACGGUCCAGACUCCUACGGGAGGCAGCAGUAGGGAAUCUUCCGCAAUGGGCGAAAGCCUGACGGAGCAACGCCGCGUGAGUGAUGAAGGUCUUCGGAUCGUAAAACUCUGUUAUUAGGGAAGAACAUACGUGUAAGUAACUGUGCACGUCUUGACGGUACCUAAUCAGAAAGCCACGGCUAACUACGUG